ACGGGAGGCAGCAGUGGGGAAUAUUGCACAAUGGGGGAAACCCUGAUGCAGCGAUGCCGCGUGAAGGAAGAAGUUCUUCGGAAUGUAAACUUCUAUCAGCAAGGAAGAAAACGGACAGUACUUGACUAAGAAGCCCCGGCUAACUACGCGCCAGCAGCCGCGGUAAUACGUAGGGGGCAAGCGUUAUCCGGAUUUACUGGGUGUAAAGGGAGUGUAGGUGGUUUGGCAAGCCAGAUGUGAAAGCCCGGGGCUCAACCCCGCGGACUGCAUUUGGAACUGUUAAACUUGAGUGCAGGAGAGGAAAGUGGAAUUCCUAGUGUAGCGGUGAAAUGCGUAGAUAUUAGGAGGAACACCAGUGGCGAAGGCGGCUUUCUGGACUGUAACUGACACUGAGGCUCGAGAGCGUGGGGAGCAAACAGGAUUAGAUACCCUGGUA
This 436-nucleotide ribosomal RNA is filed under the name uncultured bacterium. Its description in RNAcentral is "partial 16S ribosomal RNA". It matches the Rfam family "Bacterial small subunit ribosomal RNA", at positions 341 to 792 of the family's 1533-position model. The record is from RNAcentral.